RNAcentral lists this transfer RNA (60 nucleotides) under Lactiplantibacillus plantarum. RNAcentral's name for it is "tRNA-OTHER". It matches the Rfam family "tRNA". Rfam says of the family: Transfer RNA (tRNA) molecules are approximately 80 nucleotides in length. Their secondary structure includes four short double-helical elements and three loops (D, anti-codon, and T loops). RNAcentral also lists the same sequence under 1 other name. Lineage: Bacteria; Bacillati; Bacillota; Bacilli; Lactobacillales; Lactobacillaceae. The record is from RNAcentral.
AUCGCUGUGGGCUAAUUGGCAAGCCACAAUGGGAUGUAGGUUCGAUUCCUACCGGCGAUA